AGCUGAUGACGGUACCUGAAGAAUAAGCACCGGCUAACUACGUGCCAGCAGCCGCGGUAAUACGUAGGGUGCGAGCGUUAAUCGGAAUUACUGGGCGUAAAGCGAGCGCAGACGGUUACUUAAGCAGGAUGUGAAAUCCCCGGGCUCAACCUGGGAACUGCGUUCUGAACUGGGUGACUAGAGUGUGUCAGAGGGAGGUAGAAUUCCACGUGUAGCAGUGAAAUGCGUAGAGAUGUGGAGGAAUACCGAUGGCGAAGGCAGCCUCCUGGGAUAACACUGACGUUCAUGCUCGAAAGCGUGGGUAGCAAACAGGAUUAGAUACCCUGGUAGUCCACGCCCUAAACGAUGUCAAUUAGCUGUUGGGCAACUUGAUUGCUUAGUAGCGUAGCUAACGCGUGAAAUUGACCGCCUGGGGAGUACGGUCGCAAGAUUAAAACUCAAAGGAAUUGACGGGGACCCGCACAAGCGGUGGAUGAUGUGGAUUAAUUCGAUGCAACGCGAAGAACCUUACCUGGUCUUGACAUGUACGGAAUCCUCCAGAGACGGAGGAGUGCCUUCGGGAGCCGUAACACAGGUGCUGCAUGGCUGUCGUCAGCUCGUGUCGUGAGAUGUUGGGUUAAGUCCCGCAACGAGCGCAACCCUUGUCAUUAGUUGCCAUCAUUUAGUUGGGCACUCUAAUGAGACUGCCGGUGACAAGCCGGAGGAAGGUGGGGAUGACGUCAAGUCCUCAUGGCCCUUAUGACCAGGGCUUCACACGUCAUACAAUGGUCGGUACAGAGGGUAGCCAAGCCGCGAGGUGGAGCCAAUCUCACAAAACCGAUCGUAGUCCGGAUUGCACUCUGCAACUCGAGUGCAUGAAGUCGGAAUCGCUAGUAAUCGCAGGUCAGCAUACUGCGGUGAAUACGUUCCCGGGUCUUGUACACACCGCCCGUCACACCAUGGGAGUGGGGGAUACCAGAAGUAGGUAGGGUAACCGCAAGGAGCCCGCUUACCACGGUAUGCUUCAUGACUGGGGUGAAGUCGUAACAAGGUAGCCGUAGGGGAACCUGCGGCUG
RNAcentral lists this ribosomal RNA (1055 nucleotides) under metagenome. RNAcentral's name for it is "bacterial SSU rRNA". It matches the Rfam family "Bacterial small subunit ribosomal RNA", at positions 464 to 1520 of the family's 1533-position model. The record is from RNAcentral.